UUAUUUCCCAGUUUUUCAUCCAUUCCGCCUCCUCUGUGGAUUGGAUUGUGCAACUAGCUUCCUCUAACUGGUUUGAUUAUAAUGUGUCUUUAAAGGGAGGCCUCAGAUCUGUUCUCUCUUCUCUCCCUGAAAUUUGUUUGCUGAUUACUAAACACAGUGAAGCCCCCCAGCAAGCUGUAGAUGGCCUGGAUGCAUCUCUUGGCUGCAGUUUACAUAUUCAGACCAAAUACAGGAUCCUGAAUACAGAAUUGAGAAAAUGUAGUUUUUCCUUGGCCUAUUCAGGCCCAUCUAGCUGUUAAUUUCCACUUCAGACUUCUUCUGUGAUACCGGGGGCACUACCACCAGCAAAUUCUAUUUUUCUUGAAGAGGCUGCAGAACACAAGGUUAUGGAACAUCAGUGGAACUGGUUUCAACUCUAACCUCCACUGGUAUGAACCAACUGUAUGACCUCAGGCUUGAGGGUCCUUUACUCCAGCAGAGGAAAUGGGAGGAAGGAGGAUAUAGCCCUGGAUGUAGAAAGAAUUGGAAGAGCUACCCUAGAAAAUCAACCUCAGUGACAAGGAGAAAAACUAGUUCUAUAGGCAAAAAAGACCUAUUGGAAAAAACCGAAGGUCUGAAGCAGGAGACACAGAAUUCCAUGGCAGGUGGAUUUUUCUUAGCUGUGAGUAACUUCUUAAAUGCUGGUGACAAGGUAGUGAUUUCUAAUGACAGUCAUCCUAGGCAUCAGGAGGCCAUGCAGGACUUGGAGGAAAAUAGACAUUGUGAGGCACCUUGUAAAACUCCACAUUAAGAAGAUGUGAAAAAGUAGUUCACACAACGGCAAUGACCGUCAGCAAAGGAACACAGACUGCUGAUCACCACAAGUAACCCAGAACAUUAAAGCUGAAGCAACAUUGAAAAUGACUUUAUGUUUAGUAAACCAGCCUCUUCCCACUGCUUCACGCAGGCAGAGAAUUUUGGAUUUCAUUCACUGUUCUCCUGUACCCAAGAGAGUGGUCAAUCAUAGCAGAAACUCAAUAAGUACUUGUUAAAUGUAAAAGAUGACACCUCACUGUCUUGUUCGUGAGAAAGACUUAAUAAUUCAAGCACUGCGGAUGGCAUACUAAAUUGGUUUAACACUUUGGGAAAAAAAACAAAUUAGGGGUGUUUCACUUUACAUGCACGUGUUCAAGUCUUUUGAACCCAUCAGUGUGCCCUUGGGGAUUUAUUCCAAGAAAAUGAUUGAACAUCAAAACAAACCUAAAUGUGUGAACUUCUAUAAUACUAGCACAGAGUCAAAAGCAGAAAGGAGGUUAAUAAACUACAUAUAUCCUAUCAAUAAAGUAUUACUGAUCCACUUAAAAUAAUAAAUAAUACCAUAGAAAUGUAGAGAUUUUAUAAUGUUAAAUGAAUAAAAUGUAAUGCCCCAGGCCCUUUAUUGAGGCACAUCUUCCUGCUGCUUUGAAUUCCGCUGCUCUGGGGCAGACCCCGCAGACACCCUAGGAAGCUUCCAGUGUCCACUCGAGGCUGCUGACACUAGGUGUGCUUCCUGCUAGUGCCCUGAAAUCCCACCAUGUCAGCUCCCAACUUAGUGCCAAGUCUCCUACACUGGUCCCCGAACUGUGCAACCUUCUCUUCUCUGCUGGGUCAGAAGACAUUAAGGAGUAAGGAUGCUAUGUUUAUCUUUUUGUCCUUAUGCCAUGCUCCAAAUCAUCGCAUCCCUCCCAACACUGUUUGACCAGAAGUAUGUAUGUGUCCAACCCUAACUUGGCUAAGAUUUCCUUAGACCUUGCAGUUCUUCCUGCGAACUGACCUCUCAGCGGGUCUGACUCUACACAUGCCCCAUUGUGUCUGAAUCCUACAAAACUACUUAGGAGCAGAGUAGGACCACUGAUAUGGAAGUAUUUUUAUUAAGUAAUUAGACAUCAUUUUUAU
Long non-coding RNA from Artibeus jamaicensis (Jamaican fruit-eating bat), 1914 nucleotides. RefSeq lists it as uncharacterized. The record is from RefSeq and is a predicted model, not a curated record. The transcript is spliced from 3 exons. Lineage: Eukaryota; Metazoa; Chordata; Mammalia; Chiroptera; Phyllostomidae.